UCAGUGGUUCUAAUAACUGAUUUUUGCUAGUGAUUUUAAAAGAGAAAUAUAAAAUUAUAUGGUGUGAUUUUGUGUUCAAUUUAAACUUACAGGAGCAUAAUGCUUUACUUCAUCAUACUGUAAUUAGUCUAGGCUAUUGAUAAU
Caenorhabditis elegans is the source of this 144-nucleotide non-coding RNA. The record is from Ensembl. NCBI's taxonomy places the organism in Eukaryota, Metazoa, Nematoda, Chromadorea, Rhabditida, Rhabditidae.